ACGUUUUUUUUAAUUUAAUUUUAAAGAUUUAAAAUUAUUUCAGUAACGAGAAUACAAAGGAACGAAACUGAACAGUUUUCUUUCAUUUCUUGUUUCAGGGCAGAUUCGUCCAAUUAAGCCCAAAUGGUUAAAAGCUGGUUGGCCCAAUCCACUUUGCCUCUUCGUGAAAAAAAAACUGAGAAAGGUGUUAACGGUGAAAUUUUCUUUAAAAAA
This 213-nucleotide small RNA is filed under the name Arabidopsis thaliana (thale cress). RNAcentral's name for it is "ATSL021030". The record is from RNAcentral. Lineage: Eukaryota; Viridiplantae; Streptophyta; Magnoliopsida; Brassicales; Brassicaceae.